CCAACUUUUCCACUCUCCUAUUUCACCUGCAGCAAGAGGCUCUUUAGUUCCUCUUCACUUUCUGUCAUUAGAGUGGUAUCAUCUGCAUAUCUGAGGUUGUUGAUAUUUCUCCCAGCAAUCUUAAUUCCAACUAGUGAUUCA
Long non-coding RNA from Varanus komodoensis (Komodo dragon), 141 nucleotides. RefSeq lists it as uncharacterized. The transcript is spliced from 3 exons. NCBI's taxonomy places the organism in Eukaryota, Metazoa, Chordata, Lepidosauria, Squamata, Varanidae. The record is from RefSeq and is a predicted model, not a curated record.